RNAcentral lists this ribosomal RNA (465 nucleotides) under uncultured bacterium. RNAcentral describes it as "partial 16S ribosomal RNA". It matches the Rfam family "Bacterial small subunit ribosomal RNA", at positions 338 to 795 of the family's 1533-position model. The record is from RNAcentral.
CCUACGGGUGGCAGCAGUGGGGAAUAUUGCGCAAUGGGCGAAAGCCUGACGCAGCGACGCCGCGUGAGGGAUGAAGGUCUUCGGAUCGUAAACCUCUGUCAGCAUGGAAGAACGGUCACUGUGCUAAUCAGCAGUGAAUUGACGGUACCUGCAAAGGACGCACCGGCUAACUCCGUGCCAGCCGCCGCGGUAAUGCUGCGGGUGCGAGCGUUACUCGGAAUUACUGGGGGUAAAGCGUUCGUAGGCGGUAUGUCAAGUCAAGGGUGAAAUCCCCGCGCUCAACGUGGGAACUGCCUUUGAAACUGGCAAACUGGAGUGUGUGAGAGGAUAGUGGAAUUCCAGGUGUAGGAGUGAAAUGCGUAGAUAUCGGGAGGAACAUCAGGGGCGAAGGCGACUAUCUGGCACAUAACUGACGCUGAGGAGCGAAAGCGUGGGUAGCAAACAGGAUUAGAUACCCGGGUAGUC